AGCUCCAGGGUAUUUGACAGGACCGAGGGCGGACGCAAAGGACGCGGAGGACCUCUGGGUGCCUGCAGGGGAGCUGCUCCAGCAGGGCCGCCGGGAGCGGUGGAGAGAGCAUCGCGGAGCUGCCCCUCCACGCGCCUGCCGGGCCGCGAUCGCCCUCGGGGCUCUCCUGGUAGCAGUGCCAGGGCGCAGGGCGCGGCUGAUCUCCCGCCCCCGCCACCUCCGCCACCAUGCUGCUCCCCCAGCUCUGCUGGCUGCUGCUGCUCGCGGUGCUGCUCCAGCUGGUGCCCGCGCAGAAGUUCUCGGCGCUCACGUUUUUGAGAGUUGAUCAAGAUAAAGACAAGGAUUGUAGCUUGGACUGUGCGGGUUCGCCUCAGAAACCUCUCUGUGCAUCUGACGGAAGGACCUUCCUUUCCCGUUGUGAAUUUCAACGUGCCAAGUGCAAAGACCCCCAGCUAGAGAUUGCGUAUCGAGGAAACUGCAAAGACGUGUCCAGGUGUGUGGCCGAAAGGAAGUACACCCAGGAGCAAGCCCGGAAGGAGUUUCAGCAAGUGUUCAUUCCGGAGUGCAAUGACGACGGCACCUACAGUCAGGUCCAGUGUCACAGCUACACGGGAUACUGCUGGUGCGUCACGCCCAACGGGAGGCCCAUCAGCGGCACCGCCGUGGCCCACAAGACGCCCCGGUGCCCGGGUUCCAUAAAUGAAAAGUUACCGCAACGCGAAGGCACAGGAAAAACAGUCUCCUUGCAAAUCUUUUCCGUUCUGAAUUCAGAUGAUGCCGCGGCUCCGGCGUUGGAGACUCAGCCUCAAGGAGAUGAAGAAGAUAUUGCAUCACGUUACCCUACCCUUUGGACUGAACAGGUUAAAAGUCGGCAGAACAAAACCAAUAAGAAUUCAGUGUCAUCCUGUGACCAAGAGCACCAGUCUGCCCUGGAGGAAGCCAAGCAGCCCAAGAACGACAACGUGGUGAUCCCUGAGUGUGCACAGGGCGGCCUCUACAAGCCAGUGCAGUGCCACCCCUCCACGGGGUACUGCUGGUGCGUCCUGGUGGACACCGGGCGCCCCAUUCCCGGCACAUCCACAAGGUAUGAGCAGCCGAAAUGUGACAACACGGCCAGGGCCCACCCAGCCAAAGCCCGGGACCUGUACAAGGGCCGCCAGCUACAAGGUUGCCCGGGUGCCAAAAAGCAUGAGUUUCUGACCAGUAUUCUGGACGCGCUGUCCACAGACAUGGUCCACGCUGUCUCCGACCCCUCCUCCUCGUCAGGCAGGCUCUCGGAACCCGACCCCAGUCACACCCUAGAGGAGCGAGUGGUGCACUGGUACUUCAAACUACUCGAUAAAAACUCCAGUGGAGACAUCGGCAAAAAGGAAAUCAAACCCUUCAAGAGGUUCCUUCGCAAAAAAUCAAAGCCCAAAAAAUGCGUGAAGAAGUUUGUUGAAUACUGUGAUGUGAAUAAUGACAAAUCCAUCUCGGUACAAGAACUGAUGGGCUGCCUGGGUGUGGCUAAAGAGGACGGCAAAGCAGACACCAAGAAGCGCCACAGAAGCAAGAGAAUCCUAUGAUGGCCAGAGCCCAAGUGUUCUCAGGAGGCAAGCCAGGAAAACCCAGCCCCCAGAGGUAAUGCUGAAAGUACGUCUAAUAGACAGCCAAGGAAACAAGGAUAAAUGGCUCCCACAGCGAAGGCAGUUCCUAGACACGUGGGAAAUCCCCUCACCAACGAGCAAUUAAGAAAACAGAAACAGAAACACGUAGUAUUUGCACUUUGUACUUUAAAUGUAAAUUCACUUUGUAGAAAUGAGAUAUUUAAACAGACUGUUUUAAUCUGUGAAAACGGAGAGCUGGCUUCAGAAGAUUAAUCACAUACAAUGUAUGUGUCCUCUUUUGACCUUGGAAAUCUGUAUGUGGUGGAGAUGUAUUUGAAUGCAUUUAGGCUUAAUUUCUUCGCCUUCCACAUGUUAACAGUAGAGCUCUAGGCACUCUGGUUGCAAUCCUAUGGCUUUCCCUAACCCCUGCAGUCACUUCCAGACGGCUGUGCUUACAGCAUUGUGGAAUCAUGUUGGAAGCUCCACAUUUCCAUGGAAGGUUGUGAUGUACGGUUGACCCUUCAGGCAGUUAAUAUACACGGGCUGGUUUGUUUCUUGGGGUUUUCUGUUAGUUUGUCUUGUUUUGCUUUCCAGAGAUCUUGCUCGUACAAUGAAUCAUGCAACCACUAAAGCUAUCCAGUUAAGUACAGGUAGUUCCCCUGGAGGAAAUACGAUUUCCAAACUGUCUUUGGUGUGACACUUUGGCUCAAAGGAUGUUUGCUUUUCCAUUUUAAGCUUCUGUUUGAGUUUUGCCCUGGGGCUCGAGCGAGUCCUGGAGAGUCGUUCCUGAUGGUGGGAGGCUCCCUAGGAGGGGCCCAUCCUUCCAAAAUGUAAAGCCAGUCACGGUGUGACCGAGCUAGCUAACAGGCUUGUCUGCUGGGUUUUUCUCCUACACGAUCCUCCUACCUGGUCCACCCCAGGGCUACCGGAAGGUAAAGUCUUCACCUGAACCAAUUAUGAGCAGUCUCCUUACUGAAGGCACAGCCAGAUCCAUGGUGCCCCCUGGGCUGGUGUUGGCAGCCGGGGAGAAAUGCCUGCGGGUCCCCACGGUUCCUUUCUGCUUUUCUGAACGCAUCAAGGGUACAAGAACUUGCCAAUGGGAAAUUCAUCUGAGUGGCACUGGCAGAGAAGGAUAGGAGCGGAAUGCCCACACGGUGACUAACGGAACUGGCCUGUGUGCACAGCCAGCUGCCCCGCUCAGGCCUGGGUCCGGAGCUCAGGGCGCCCUCUGUCUGUAGGAACUGUUUGGAGGACAGUCUGAGAGUGGAAACUUCCAUGUGAUUCUAUCUCGGCUCAGACUGUUGGUUGGAGAAACAUCUUCGAGGCCCCAAAUCCCCUGAGACGUGCCUUGUAGAAUGACGUUUGUGAGGUUGGGAUGCUUGUGGAGCAUCGCAUAAGGCUUCUUCCUUAUUUAAACUGUGCAAGGUAAAAAUCAAGCCUUUGGAGCCACAGAACCAGCUCAAGUACAUGCCAAUGUUGUUUAAGAAACAGUUAUGAUCCUAAACUUUUUGGAUAAUCUUUUGUAUUUCUGACCUUUGAAUUUAAUCAUUUUUCUUAGAUUAAAAUAAAAUAUGCUAUUAAAACUA
This is a non-coding RNA of Chlorocebus sabaeus (green monkey), 3172 nucleotides long. The record is from RefSeq and is a predicted model, not a curated record. NCBI's taxonomy places the organism in Eukaryota, Metazoa, Chordata, Mammalia, Primates, Cercopithecidae.